This 422-nucleotide ribosomal RNA is filed under the name uncultured archaeon. RNAcentral's name for it is "partial 16S ribosomal RNA". It matches the Rfam family "Archaeal small subunit ribosomal RNA", at positions 323 to 746 of the family's 1478-position model. The record is from RNAcentral.
CUACGGGCCGCUGCAGACGAGAAAACUUUGCAAUGUGCGAAAGCACGACAAGGUUAAUCCGAGUGGUUUCUGCUAAAGGAACCUUUUGUCGGUCCUAGAAACACCGAUGAAUAAGGGGUGGGCAAGUUCUGGUGUCAGCCGCCGCGGUAAAACCAGCACCUCAAGUGGUCAGGAUGAUUAUUGGGCCUAAAGCAUCCGUAGCCGGCUCUGUAAGUUUUCGGUUAAAUCUGUAUGCUCAACAUACAGGCUGCCGGGAAUACUGCAUAGCUAGGGAGUGGGAGAGGUAGACGGUACUCGGUAGGAAGGGGUAAAAUCCUUUGAUCUAUUGAUGACCACCUGUGGCGAAGGCGGUCUACCAGAACACGUCCGACGGUGAGGGUUGAAAGCUGGGGGAGCAAACCGGAUUAGAUACCCGUGUAGUC